UGUUGCGGUUAAAAAGCUCGUAGUUGGAUCUCGGCAAGUGGAGGGCGGUAUGCUUCGUAGCAUUACUGCCCUAUUACUUGUAGUUUUGCCAGAGGUUCCUGGGUGCUCUUAAUCGAGUGUCUAGGGAUGCUGGCAGGUUUACUUUGAAAAAAUUAGAGUGCUCAAAGCAGGCUAUUACGCUUGAAUAUUCGUGCAUGGAAUAAUAGAAUAGGAAGUUGUUUCUAUUUUGUUGGUUUUCGGAAAUCGACUUAAUGAUUAAUAGGGACAGUCGGGGGCAUUUGUAUUCAAACGACAGAGGUGAAAUUCUUGGACCGUUUGAAGACAAACUACUGCGAAAGCAUUUGCCAAGAAUGUUUUCAUUAAUCAAGAACGAUAGUUAGAGGUUCGAAGGCGAUUAGAUACCGCCCUAGUUCUAACCAUAAACGAUGCCAGCUAGCGAUCUGAGGACGUUUUUUUUGUAGACUCCUCAGGAAGCUUCCGGGAAACCAAAAGCGUGUGGGUUCCGGGGGGAAGUAUGGUUGCAAAGCUGAAACUUAAAA
This 539-nucleotide ribosomal RNA is filed under the name uncultured marine eukaryote. Its description in RNAcentral is "SSU rRNA". It matches the Rfam family "Eukaryotic small subunit ribosomal RNA", at positions 611 to 1149 of the family's 1831-position model. The record is from RNAcentral.